RNAcentral lists this ribosomal RNA (469 nucleotides) under uncultured bacterium. RNAcentral describes it as "partial 16S ribosomal RNA". It matches the Rfam family "Bacterial small subunit ribosomal RNA", at positions 28 to 508 of the family's 1533-position model. The record is from RNAcentral.
GACGAACGCUGGCGGCGUGCUUAACACGUGCAAGUCGAACGGAAAGGCCCUGCUUUUGUGGGGUGCUCGAGUGGCGAACGGGUGAGUAACACGUGAGUAACCUGCCCUUGACUUUGGGAUAACUUCAGGAAACUGGGGCUAAUACCGGAUAGGAGCUCCUGCUGCAUGGUGGGGGUUGGAAAGUUUCGGCGGUUGGGGAUGGACUCGCGGCUUAUCAGCUUGUUGGUGGGGUAGUGGCUUACCAAGGCUUUGACGGGUAGCCGGCCUGAGAGGGUGACCGGCCACAGUGGGACUGAGAGACGGCCCAGACUCCUACGGGAGGCAGCAGUGGGGAAUAUUGCACAAUGGGCGGAAGCCUGAUGCAGCAACGCCGCGGGCGGGAUGACGGCCUUCGGGUUGAAAACCGCUUUCGCCUGUGACGAAGCGUGAGUGACGGUAAUGGGUAAAGAAGCACCGGCUAACUACGUGC